RNAcentral lists this transfer RNA (73 nucleotides) under Camelus bactrianus (Bactrian camel). It matches the Rfam family "tRNA". Rfam says of the family: Transfer RNA (tRNA) molecules are approximately 80 nucleotides in length. The record is from Rfam by way of RNAcentral. Lineage: Eukaryota; Metazoa; Chordata; Mammalia; Artiodactyla; Camelidae. RNAcentral also lists the same sequence under 2 other names.
GAGGAUAUAGCUCAAAUGGUAGAGCAUAUGCUUAGCAUGCAUGAGGUCCUGGGUUCAAUUCCCAGUAUCUCCA